Long non-coding RNA from Oxyura jamaicensis (ruddy duck), 402 nucleotides. RefSeq lists it as uncharacterized. Lineage: Eukaryota; Metazoa; Chordata; Aves; Anseriformes; Anatidae. The record is from RefSeq and is a predicted model, not a curated record. The transcript has 3 exons.
CUGAACUCAGAAAUGAAGCUGGCAGUAUCUGCUCUGAUCUGGUUAGUGCUGGAUGGGGCAGAAAGGGGUGUGUGUGUGUUUCUGCUGCUUAUUUAUGACACAUCAUUGAGUUGCAUGUGUUAUUUGAGGGAUGCAGCCAAGACAGAUGGGGCAUGCUUAUUUGUUGACUUGUGUUGCUUAGACAUUGUGCUAUUUUUGUGAGAUCUUUGUUUCUCUGUUAAGGCACCUGGUGGCCUUCAGACAAAAGUGCCCAUAAAGAAAAUGUUUUGUUAGCCUAUUAUUAAUAAAAAUCUGCUUGAUCCCAUAAGCUUGUAAGAUUGGGUGUAGUGAAUUAGAGCAGUGUCCUUCCACGGCGUGGUAUAUGUGAGCAAUAUUUAAUACUUCUUUUAAAAAUAUAAUUUU